CGCUCACGCCCGUCGUCCCAGCUGCUCCGUGAGCCCGAGCGCGGGCGAGGCCUGAGUCACACUGAGUCACUGCGCCCCAGCGCGGGCGACGAGAGCCCGUCCCAACAGCAACGACGAGAGGGCGAGGAAGGGGAGGGCGGUGAGGGCACCCGGGACCUCGUGGUGUAUUUUGACGACGGAAUGCGCUUUCGGAGGCGACAGUGGUGACGACGCAGAUGAGGUGACGUGCGCUGGAAGCGCCCCGAGCGCCACCCUGGGCCCGCACACGACUCGGUUUUGCACAGAGCGCGCCUGCCCUGCUGUCUGGCUUGGCGGACAACGAACCAUUUGGUCAGGGCCCAGGCGACCUGUGUGGUCCCGGGGAGGGGCAUGGAGAUGGUGACAGGGUAUCUUCUCCACGCCUCCCUCCCUUCCCCCACUGCCACCUCCGGUUUCCUGGGCAUGGGGCGAAGGGCGACAUCCGAGUCACUGAAGCAGGAAGCAGAGUUGGAAGAGGAGCCGGGAUGGAGAGGCUGGCGUGAGCACAGUGACCAGGACUGAUGCCAGGAGAGGAGAAAGAUGAUGGUGUUAAGGAAACGUGUGGACCCCAGGUCUCCAGCAGUUGAGACUGGUUAGAGCCACGACAACUGACAAAAGCAGCCAAGGAAAGGAAGACAGCGGGAAGUUCACCGCCCAUUUCCAGAAGACAUGAAUAUUCUUCCCCUCGCUGUUCACCUCCAGCCCCUUCAGUACAGAAACCCUACAUUUAGCCCCUGCCCGCUCACCUGUUGAGAAGUUGAACUGUGGGCCAAGCUCCUGCUUCUCAGUCCGUGGUCACUGAAUAAAGUCGGCUUCGGUUUCAUGUAUCGGCUUCGUGACACCAAACAGGGAAGGACCCCAUCUUUUGGGCAACCGGCUUUCUCAGUAGCAUGUGGACAAGUCUGAGAGCUAAGGACUCCCGGGAAGACCCACUCACAGGAGGUCUCCAUGCUCUUGUGAAUUUUACUUCCUGGAAUGCUGCCAGGUUCUCACAGCGAAAAUCAGAGAAAACCCCCUCAGGGCUCUAGCAGAGACAGGGGAGAAGGGACCAUUUUGAAAUACGCCAGAGUGCUCUGCCCUCUUUAGGAAAAGAAUGGGUUCAUGUCCUUCGCAGGGACAGGGAUGAAGCUGGAAACCAUCAUUCUCAGCAAACCAACACAGGAAC
This 1183-nucleotide long non-coding RNA is filed under the name Homo sapiens (human). Its description in RNAcentral is "HSALNT0387811". The record is from RNAcentral. Lineage: Eukaryota; Metazoa; Chordata; Mammalia; Primates; Hominidae.